Non-coding RNA from Ixodes scapularis (black-legged tick), 74 nucleotides. Lineage: Eukaryota; Metazoa; Arthropoda; Arachnida; Ixodida; Ixodidae. The record is from Rfam.
CCCGGGCUGGUCUAAUCGGUUAAGACGUCGCCCCGGAUGGGCGAAGGUUGCGGGUUCGAUCCCCGCUCCUGGCU